RNAcentral lists this ribosomal RNA (497 nucleotides) under uncultured bacterium. Its description in RNAcentral is "partial 16S ribosomal RNA". It matches the Rfam family "Bacterial small subunit ribosomal RNA", at positions 28 to 507 of the family's 1533-position model. The record is from RNAcentral.
GAUGAACGCUGGCGGCGUGCCUAAUACAUGCAAGUCGAGCGAACAGACAAGGAGCUUGCUCCUCUGACGUUAGCGGCGGACGGGCGAGUAACACGUGGAUAACCUACCUAUAAUACUGGGAUAACUUCGUGAAACCGGUGCUAAUACCGGCUCAUAUAUUGAACCGCAUGGUUCAAUAGAUAUUCACGGUUUUGCUGUCACUUAUAGAUGGUUCCGCGCCGCAUUAGUUAGUUGGUAAGGUAACGGCUUACCAACGCGACGAUGCGUAGCCGACCUGAGAGGGUGAUCGGCCACACUGGAACUGAGACACGGUCCAGACUCCUACGGGAGGCAGCAGUAGGGAAUCUUCCGCAAUGGGCGAAAGCCUGACGGAGCCACGCCGCGUGAGUGAUGAAGGUCUUCGGGUCGUAAAGCUCUGUUAUUAGGGAAGAACAAAUGUGGAAGAAACUAUGCACGUCUUGACGGUACCUAAUCAGAAAGCAACGGCUAACUACGUG